RNAcentral lists this ribosomal RNA (497 nucleotides) under uncultured bacterium. RNAcentral describes it as "partial 16S ribosomal RNA". It matches the Rfam family "Bacterial small subunit ribosomal RNA", at positions 28 to 507 of the family's 1533-position model. The record is from RNAcentral.
GAUGAACGCUGGCGGCGUGCCUAAUACAUGCAAGUCGAGCGAACAGACGAGGAGCUUGCCCCUCUGACGUUAGCGGCGGACGGGUGAGUAACACGUGGAUAACCUACCUAUAAGACUGGGAUAACUUCGGGAAACCGGAGCUAAUACCGGAUAAUAUAUUGAACCGCAUGGUUCAAUAGUGAAAGACGGUUUUGCUGUCACUUAUAGAUGGAUCCGCGCCGCAUUAGCUAGUUGGUAAGGUAACGGCUUACCAAGGCAACGAUGCGUAGCCGACCUGAGAGGGUGAUCGGCCACACUGGAACUGAGACACGGUCCAGACUCCUACGGGAGGCAGCAGUAGGGAAUCUUCCGCAAUGGGCGAAAGCCUGACGGAGCAACGCCGCUUGAGUGAUGAAGGUCUUCGGAUCGUAAAACUCUGUUAUUAGGGAAGAACAAAUGUGUAAGUAACUAUGCACGUCUUGACGGUACCUAAUCAGAAAGCCACGGCUAACUACGUG